RNAcentral lists this ribosomal RNA (229 nucleotides) under uncultured bacterium. Its description in RNAcentral is "partial 16S ribosomal RNA". It matches the Rfam family "Bacterial small subunit ribosomal RNA", at positions 568 to 796 of the family's 1533-position model. The record is from RNAcentral.
UGCGUAGGCGGAUUGAUAAGUCAGUGGUGAAAACCUUCAGCUUAACUGGAGACUUGCCAUUGAUACUGUUAGUCUUGAGUACGGUCGAGGUAGGCGGAAUGUGUAAUGUAGCGGUGAAAUGCUUAGAUAUUACACAGAACACCGAUUGCGAAGGCAGCUUACUGGGCCAUUACUGACGCUGAGGCACGAAAGCGUGGGGAGCGAACAGGAUUAGAUACCCUGGUAGUCC